This 382-nucleotide ribosomal RNA is filed under the name uncultured eukaryote. Its description in RNAcentral is "partial 18S ribosomal RNA". It matches the Rfam family "Eukaryotic small subunit ribosomal RNA", at positions 592 to 976 of the family's 1831-position model. The record is from RNAcentral.
UGUAAGCGUAUACCAAAGUUGUUGCAGUUAAAACGCUCGUAGUCGGAAUUUGGCAGUUCCGGAUGUGUGCACGUCGUGUGCGCACUUCGCGGGGAUUGCUUUUGUGGUCUUGCGUAGGAUGAGGCACUUUUAUUAGUGAACGUCCUCACGCAACCACUUUUUACUGUGAGAAAAUCAGAGUGCUCAAAGCAGGCAUUUGCCGUGAAUGUAUUAGCAUGGAAUAAUAGAAUAGGACUUGGUUCUAUUUUGUUGGUUUGUGGGGACUGAGUAAUGAUUAAGAGGGACAGUUGGGGGCAUUUGUAUUUCGGUGCUAGAGGUGAAAUUCUUAGAUUACCGAAAGACAAACUGCUGCGAAAGCGUCUGCCAAGGAUGUUUUCAUUGA